ACGAACGCUGGCGGCGUGCUUAACACCUGCAAGUCGAACGGAAAGGCCCUGCUUUUGUGGGGUGCUCGAGUGGCGAACGGGUGAGUAACACGUGAGUAACCUGCCCUUGACUUUGGGAUAACUUCAGGAAACUGGGGCUAAUACCGGAUAGGAGCUCCUGCUGCAUGGUGGGGGUUGGAAAGUUUCGGCGGUUGGGGAUGGACUCGCGGCUUAUCAGCUUGUUGGUGGGGUAGUGGCCUACCAAGGCUUUGACGGGUAGCCGGCCUGAGAGGGUGACCGGCCACAUUGGGACUGAGAUACGGCCCAGACUCCUACGGGAGGCAGCAGUGGGGAAUAUUGCACAAUGGGCGGAAGCCUGAUGCAGCAACGCCGCGUGCGGGAUGACGGCCUUCGGGUUGUAAACCGCUUUCGCCUGUGACGAAGCGUGAGUGACGGUAAUGGGUAAAGAAGCACCGGCUAACUACGUG
RNAcentral lists this ribosomal RNA (467 nucleotides) under uncultured bacterium. RNAcentral's name for it is "partial 16S ribosomal RNA". It matches the Rfam family "Bacterial small subunit ribosomal RNA", at positions 29 to 507 of the family's 1533-position model. The record is from RNAcentral.